AAGUCGUAACAAGGUUUCCGUAGGUGAACCUGCGGAAGGAUCAUUAACACAAGUAAAAAAACAUUUUUACAACACCCUAUUAUGAAUUUAAAUUUUUUAAUUUUGAUUUUAAUUUUUUUAUAAAACUACAAAAAAAAUAUUUAAUUUAUUUGACUAACAUUUUUUUAAUUAAUUUAUUUAAAAUUUUAUAAAACAACUCUUAACAACGGAUAUCUUGGCUCUC
This 223-nucleotide unclassified non-coding RNA is filed under the name fungal sp. Its description in RNAcentral is "partial internal transcribed spacer region". The stretch from base 1 to 46 matches the Rfam family "Eukaryotic small subunit ribosomal RNA", at positions 1786 to 1831 of the family's 1831-position model. The record is from RNAcentral. Lineage: Eukaryota; Fungi.